GAGUAGAAGUUAAAGCUGCGUUCACUGGCCCGACGUCAUUUCCGGCAGCUUGCUUCCGGUUUGCUCUUAAACGCUUCUGUUGUUGCGUUAGAAAAAAGAGAGCUGCGUAUUGAAGUGGUGUCUUUUACUUUGUCGCCAUCAUGAGAGCUAAGUGGCGUAAGAAGCGUAUGCGUAGACUGAAGCGCAAAAGAAGAAAGAUGAGGCAGAGGUCCAAGUAAAGACCUGUGAUACAGCUGGCACUCUACAUACCAUUUUUUGGAAACCUUCAGGAUAAACAGAAUCUUUGUAGCUUUCACGUCUGUGCCUUUAUCUCUUGGAUAGUUCUUUGUUUAACAGGCAACACUGAUCAUCUGUCAGUAUUCCCAGAGUUUUCAUCUGCUUCUAUCCCAUGCUAUUUUAAUAUGUUCUCUAGUGGCAAGGGAGAUACUAAAUGAGCAGAGCUAUUCUACAGCCUUCUUCCUUGUCUGCUUCUGUUUUUGAACCAAUAAAGGUAGUCUGUUUGA
Long non-coding RNA from Xenopus laevis (African clawed frog), 503 nucleotides. RefSeq lists it as uncharacterized. The transcript has 3 exons. NCBI's taxonomy places the organism in Eukaryota, Metazoa, Chordata, Amphibia, Anura, Pipidae. The record is from RefSeq and is a predicted model, not a curated record.